Pestalotiopsis fici W106-1 is the source of this 99-nucleotide transfer RNA. It matches the Rfam family "tRNA". From Rfam's summary of the family: Transfer RNA (tRNA) molecules are approximately 80 nucleotides in length. Their secondary structure includes four short double-helical elements and three loops (D, anti-codon, and T loops). The record is from Rfam. Lineage: Eukaryota; Fungi; Ascomycota; Sordariomycetes; Amphisphaeriales; Sporocadaceae.
GGUGAGAUGGCCGAGCGGUCUAAGGCGCUACGUUCAGGUCUUCCUGAGUUUAUAAUCGUAGUCAAGAAAUUGGCGUGGGUUCGAAUCCCACUCUCAUCA